Molecule: unclassified non-coding RNA, 174 nt
Filed under: uncultured fungus
Lineage: Eukaryota; Fungi
Description: sequence contains ITS1
Source: RNAcentral
UUAACUUAUUGUAGUGCUUCAGAAGACAUGUUACAGAAGAGUUUUUAGGUGCUUUCGGCAGGCCUUGUAGGUGCCCCGCCCUGGGGCGGCCUGCCGAGGCAACACAGUUAUGUUCACAGUGGUUUGGAGUUUUGCAACUCGGUAAUGAUCCCUCCGCUGGUUCACCAACGGAGA